GGAAUAGCUCAGUUGGUAGAGCACGACCUUGCCAAGGUCGGGGUCGCGAGUUCUGCUGAAUUCA
Molecule: transfer RNA, 64 nt
Filed under: Escherichia coli
Lineage: Bacteria; Pseudomonadati; Pseudomonadota; Gammaproteobacteria; Enterobacterales; Enterobacteriaceae
Description: tRNA-Gly
Source: RNAcentral